GUGCUCAAUUUAUCGUCUUUUUUUAAUAUCAAGAAAAAGAUAUCUUUGAUGUGCUAAACAUGUUUGUGAAAAUAAAUUAGCAGCAUUAUUAUAAUUUAGCUAUUGCUGUCCGUUACCUCCAGGUGAAG
This 128-nucleotide small nucleolar RNA is filed under the name Carlito syrichta (Philippine tarsier). Lineage: Eukaryota; Metazoa; Chordata; Mammalia; Primates; Tarsiidae. The record is from RNAcentral.